This 808-nucleotide long non-coding RNA is filed under the name Hordeum vulgare. Its description in RNAcentral is "long non-coding RNA (HVUL_LNC017968)". Lineage: Eukaryota; Viridiplantae; Streptophyta; Magnoliopsida; Poales; Poaceae. The record is from RNAcentral.
UUUUAAAAAGCAAAUGAUAUGGGGGAAUAGUACCCAAAGUUCUUGUCAACAUUUAAAAAAAUAUAGGUAUCUAAAAUUACUUCGUAUCCAGCAAUAUUACAUUCAUAAUUAUUAAGACUAUAAGUGACUACAAUAUUCGACGACUCUUCUUUCAUAUCUAGGAUGCCAUUAUAAUUGACUAUUAUGAGUCCAGAUGAGUUACGCCAUCCUUUGUAUGGUGAAAUACAAUAGUGCAUUAAAGUGUCUAGUAAAUACAAAAGUGGAAAUGAGAUAUGUAUACAUUAUGUGUUCCUCACUUCCACAUGCUUUCUUGAUGAUUACAAUUCAUCAUUUAGUAUCAUAAUCCUAUAUAUAUGCAAGAUAUUUCAUAUAUAUGGCAUGUCAAAUGGUUGCAAGUAUGCAAUUAGUGAAGGAGAGUGUGUAUGAAAAUUGUUUACGUGAGAAAAAUGGUAGAGUGUAUGAUUGUUGUACUUUUAUUUCCUUAUAAUGGAAUGUAUACGAUGAACAAUUGAAGUUGUAUCUUAGCUAAAUAUGUGAUUGUCACUUGCUCAUUUGAAAAAUAAUACUCCAUAUUACUGAAGGAGUUGUACCCAAAUAAAACAAUAUUCAACACGAAUUUCGGGUCGAGACCUUAAUGCCAUGUUCUUCCUUAUACGUGGCAGGAACAAAAUAAAAUUAUUCCAAGUGAACCUAAAUUCCAACUUUUCGAUGUUGUUUGAUAUCAAAUCACAUCUUUGAUGUAGAUGUAGAUGAACAAAAUAAAUAUCUAUAUGCAUAUUGUAAAAUCAGUAAAAUUAUAAAAUUCAAG